Molecule: long non-coding RNA, 1265 nt
Filed under: Mus spicilegus (steppe mouse)
Lineage: Eukaryota; Metazoa; Chordata; Mammalia; Rodentia; Muridae
Description: lncRNA (ENSMSIG00000001657.1)
Source: RNAcentral
GUGAGCUGGUGGAUGGAUGGAUGGAUGGAUGGAUGGAUGGAUGGAUGGAUGGAUGGAUUAAUGGGUGAUUUACCUUAAUAGAAGCUUGAGACCAGCCUGAGCUACACUGUCAGGUAGGCUGUCUCAAAAACAGCAGUAACAACAAAGAUAUAGCUUGAGUGCUCUAUGGUGCUAUUAAAUCAUACCUCUUGGGCUGGAGAGAUGGCUCAGCGGGUAAGAGCACUGACUGUUCUUCCAGAGGUUCUGAGUUCAAAUCCCAGCAAUCACAUGGUGGCUUACAACCAUCCGUAAUGAGAUCUGACACCCUCUCCUGGUGUGUCUGAGACAGCUACAGUGUACUUACAUAUAACAAUAAAUAAAUCUUUAAAAAAACAAAACAAAACAAAAAACAGCUCCACCUAAGGUCCACUUAAUCUUAGAAGCCAGGGGCAAGGGCUUUGUGCCCUUUCCAUAGUUCCUAGUCUAGUCUUUUGUAUAGUCCACCUUCCCCCUAGGCCAUUGUAAAUACCGGUGUAUGGGUAUAACUCAGCUAUCUAUAGUUCUAAGUAUCUACUCUGGUUCCUCAAUAUUAAGGGAAAGCACUCAGAUCCGUUUACCACUAAAGCAAGGACAUUGGAGCAUUCGUUAUACAGGACACCACCGUUCCAGAAGAUUAAGUUUCCGUGAACUUUCCCCUCGGGACAGCUCCCAGGUUUUGGGGGCCUGUUAUGCUUGUCACUACUGGAGUGGAUGUAGCACCUGACACCAGUUAGUCCCAUGUUCAAUGCUCUACUGGGUUGGAGAGGUGACAAGUUCUAGGUUACACACACAAAAAAGGUACAGUCUUUUAUUGCUUUGUUUUGUUUGAGACAAGGUCUCAUGUAGCUCAGUCUGGUCUCAGCCUCACUAUGUAGCCAAGCAUGAUGACCUUGACCCUCUAAUCCUCUCCAAUGCUGGGAUUACAGGACUGCACCACCACACCUGGAAUUACGUGUGGCCGGGCUGGAAAACCAAGCCUUUGGCUUUUUAGGGAAGCGUUCUACAGGGCUACACACCAGCUCAGGAAACAGUCAUCUUCACAGCGGCCAAAGAAGCACUUGAAGUGUGAAGAUCACAGCCAUCUCGGAGGGAGUUUCACAGAGGAAGUGGAAAGUUUCUCCGGGGAAGGGCAGAGGUGUCAGAGAGCCGGAGGCAGCCAGGACACAGGGCUCCAAGCCUGGAAACCAUCCAUCCAUCCUGCCCGGUGUCUCCAUGUUGCUCUGUAUGCCCUGCCUGCGCUUAACUGA